RNAcentral lists this ribosomal RNA (1452 nucleotides) under Triticum aestivum (bread wheat). RNAcentral describes it as "partial small subunit ribosomal RNA". Lineage: Eukaryota; Viridiplantae; Streptophyta; Magnoliopsida; Poales; Poaceae. The record is from RNAcentral.
AUGGAUGUCAUCUCCUGCACCAAAGGGAAAUAUGUUCUGCAGUUAACCUUGCAUGACAAGAAGAAGAAAACCGACUGGGGCUUGCUAGUGGUAUAUGGAGCAUCCCAUGAAGAGUCUAAGGAGGAAUUUUUGAUAGAGCUCGCUGCUAGCUAUAGUAGCAUGAAUAUUCCCUACAUUUUAGGGGGUGACUUCAAUAUCUUGCGACAUGGAGAUGAGAAAAAUAAGAAGAUGCAAAAUAAUAGAGCAACUAAUGUCUUUAAUUCCAUUAUCAAUGCUUUUGCCCUUAGAGAGAUUUACACUAGUGGGGGGAAAUACACCUGGACCAACAAUCAAGCCCAUCCUACCCUAGAAAAAUUAGAUCGCAUCCUAAUGUCUGAAGGGUGGGAGGACAUUUUUCCUGUGGUGUAUGUCAGAAAGUUGGUACGUGAAAUCUCAGACCACAACCCCUUGCUUCUCUCUGGAGUGGAAGAGGGGCGCGAAGGUCCUAAACCUCAUGAGAUUUGUUUCAAUUUACCCUGGAUUAAGGAUCAAUACUUUCUUCCUAUGAUCAGUAGGAUCUGGUCGAGGAAGGUUCACUCCUCUGACCCUAUUGACAUCCUAAAUAUCAAACUAAAAAGAUUCAAGAAUUAUUUCAAAGGGUGGGGGAAUAAAUAUGGUCAUGACAAGAGAAGGAAAGAAGAGCUCAGAUUAGAGCUAGCUAUGUUGGAGGAACUAGAAGAGAGUGGCCCCCUGUCCCGUAAGUUGUAUAGUAUCAAAAUUGAUGUAAGUGUGGAGCUGCAUGAACUCCUGGUAAAUGAGGAGAUUUUUUGGUUACAACAAUCCCAUGAAAGAUGGCUGCUGAAAGGUGAUCUUAAUAUAGACUACUAUCAUAAGAUUGCAAACGGGCGCAAGAGGAAGAACACAAUUCGUUCCCUUAAGGUUGGUGAUGUGGAGAUUGAAGGUACUGAUAACCUGAUUACACAUGCAACAGAUUUCUACAAAAACUUGUUUGGCCCCGCGCCUGGCAAACCUGAUACAUGGUCUACUUGUGAAAAACUUGAUGAAAAUGACAAUGCUGAUCUGUGCCGGGCUUUUACGGAGGCAGAAGUCAAAGAAGUGCUGUUUGCUAUGGAACAUAAUAGAGCCCCAGGUCUGGACAACAUUCCUACAGAUUUUUAUCAGGUGUGUUGGGAUAUUGUGAAAGAUGAUAUUAUGUCACUCUUUGAACAUUUUCAUAAAGGGGAUCUAGAUGUUCAGCGGCUUAAUUACGGUGUGAUUACCCUUCUCUUUAAGACCGCGGGGGCAAACAAGAUCCAACAAUUCCGACCCAUUUGCCUUUUGAGAUGUCCUUACAAGCUAAUCACAAAGGUGCUUGAUAGGUGUAGCGACCUGACCCGAAUGGAUCAAGUCUCUGUGCUUAAGUGUCAUCCCUGGAUCGGUAUGCUGACACACACAGUACUCGAGGAUUUAUAA